RNAcentral lists this ribosomal RNA (253 nucleotides) under uncultured bacterium. Its description in RNAcentral is "partial 16S ribosomal RNA". It matches the Rfam family "Bacterial small subunit ribosomal RNA", at positions 524 to 776 of the family's 1533-position model. The record is from RNAcentral.
UACGUAGGGGGCAAGCGUUGCCCGGAUUUAUUGGGCGUAAAGAGCGUGUAGGCGGCCUGACAGGUCUGCUGUGAAAACUCGAGGCUCAACCUCGAGAUGUCGGCGGAAACCGUCUGGCUAGAGUCCGGAAGAGGAGAGUGGAAUUCCUGGUGUAGUGGUGAAAUGCGUAGAGAUCAGGAGGAACACCGGUGGCGAAGGCGGCCCACUGGGCCAGCACUGACGCUGAGGCGCGAAAGCGCGGGGAGCGAACGGG